RNAcentral lists this ribosomal RNA (119 nucleotides) under Betta splendens (Siamese fighting fish). Lineage: Eukaryota; Metazoa; Chordata; Actinopteri; Anabantiformes; Osphronemidae. The record is from RNAcentral.
GCUUACGGCCAUACCACCCUGAGCACGCCCGAUCUCCUCUGAUCUCGGAAGCUAAGCAGGAUUGGGCCUGGUUAGUACUUGGAUGGGAGACCACCUGGGAACACAAGGUGCUGUAAGCU